UACGUAGGUGGCAAGCGUCAAUCGGAAUUACUGGGCGUAAAGCGCACGUAGGUGGUUUGUUAAGCCAACUGUGAAAUCCCCGGGCUCAACCUGGGCACUGCAGUUGGAACUGGCAAACUAGAGUAGGGUAGAGGGGUGUGGAAUUCCAGGUGUAGCGGUGAAAUGCGUAGAUAUCUGGAGGAACAUCAGUGGCGAAGGCGACACCCUGGACUCAUACUGACACUGAGGUGCGAAAGCGUGGGGAGCAAACAGG
This 253-nucleotide ribosomal RNA is filed under the name uncultured bacterium. Its description in RNAcentral is "partial 16S ribosomal RNA". It matches the Rfam family "Bacterial small subunit ribosomal RNA", at positions 524 to 776 of the family's 1533-position model. The record is from RNAcentral.